This 468-nucleotide ribosomal RNA is filed under the name uncultured bacterium. Its description in RNAcentral is "partial 16S ribosomal RNA". It matches the Rfam family "Bacterial small subunit ribosomal RNA", at positions 28 to 507 of the family's 1533-position model. The record is from RNAcentral.
GACGAACGCUGGCGGCGUGCUUAACACAUGCAAGUCGAACGGAAAGGCCCUGCUUUUGUGGGGUUCUCGAGUGGCGAACGGGUGAGUAACACGUGAGUAACCUGCCCUUGACUUUGUGAUAUCUUCACGAAACUGGGGCGCAUACCGGGUAUGAGCUCCUGCUCCGUGUUGUUGGUUGGUAAGAUUCGGCGUUUGGGGAUGGACUCGCGGCUUAUCAGCUUGUUGGUGGGGUAGUGGCUUACCAAGGCUUUGACGGGUAGCCGGCCUGAGAGGGUGACCGGCCACAUUGGGACUGAGAGACGGCCCAGACUCCUACGGGAGGCAGCAGUGGGGAAUAUUGCACAAUGGGCGGAAGCCUGAGGCAGCAGCGCCGCGUGCGGGAUGACGGCCUUCGGGUUGUAAACCGCUUUCGCCUGUGACGAAGCGGGAGUGACGGUAAUGGGUAAAGAAGCACCGGCUAACUACGUG